GAAAUGCGAUAAGUAGUGUGAAUUGCAGAAUUCAGUGAAUCAUCGAAUCUUUGAACGCACAUUGCGCCCCUUGGUAUUCCAUGGGGCAUGCCUGUUCGAGCGUCAUUUACACCCUCAAGCUCUGCUUGGUGUUGGGCGUCUGUCCUCUAGCGAACUACCGCGUGGACUCGCCUUAAAGGCAUUGGCAGCGGUCCUGCCGGGCCUCCUAAUCGCGCAGCACUGUUCGCGCUUCCUGGAGCCCGCACGGAUUCGGCGUCCAUCAAGCCCAAUCUUCUGAACUUGACCUCGGAUCAGGUAGGGAUACCCGCUGAACUUAA
RNAcentral lists this unclassified non-coding RNA (317 nucleotides) under uncultured Dothideomycetes. Its description in RNAcentral is "sequence contains ITS1". The stretch from base 1 to 105 matches the Rfam family "5.8S ribosomal RNA", at positions 50 to 154 of the family's 154-position model. Lineage: Eukaryota; Fungi; Ascomycota; Dothideomycetes. The record is from RNAcentral.